AACGCACAUUGCGCUCCUCGGUAUUCCGGGGAGCAUGCCUGUUCGAGCGUCAUUACAUCUCUCAAGCGUAGCUUGGUAUUGGAUAGUCGUCUGAAAAGUCGUAUCCGAAAACGAGUGGCGGACAAGUACAACUUCAAGCGUAGUAAAAUUUAUCCCGCUUUGGAAGUUUGUUCUUUGCCUUGCCAAAACCCACAAAAAUUUUCAAUGAUUGACCUCGGAUCAGGUAGGGAUACCCGCUGAACUUAA
RNAcentral lists this unclassified non-coding RNA (246 nucleotides) under Mortierella sp. Its description in RNAcentral is "partial contains 5.8S ribosomal RNA, internal transcribed spacer 2, and large subunit ribosomal RNA". The stretch from base 1 to 52 matches the Rfam family "5.8S ribosomal RNA", at positions 103 to 154 of the family's 154-position model. Lineage: Eukaryota; Fungi; Mortierellomycota; Mortierellomycetes; Mortierellales; Mortierellaceae. The record is from RNAcentral. RNAcentral also lists the same sequence under 1 other name.